Molecule: non-coding RNA, 2593 nt
Organism: Cricetulus griseus (Chinese hamster)
Lineage: Eukaryota; Metazoa; Chordata; Mammalia; Rodentia; Cricetidae
Source: RefSeq, a predicted model, not a curated record
AUGCAUGCAUACACACACACACACACACACACACACACACACGAAUAAAUGAAUGAAUCCUAAAAAUAAAGCAAAGCCACAGUAAAUCUAGCCCCUUCUCCCCAACUCAGUGACCCAGAAGUGGUACUUGCAAUGUGGCUUUCUUUCCCACAAUCCCUAGUGCUUCCCUUGUUUUCAACUUGGGCCUGGAAGACUGCUUUUUUUCAAAGAAGUGAAGGGUGACCUGCCAUCAACAAGUGAACCUGAGGAGUGGGCUUCUGGAAGUACCCCAAGAACUUGGAGAAAUUUGCCACAAAGAUGGGAACCACAGUGUGCACACCGACAGAAUAAGGACCAUUCCAACAAGGAACCUGUAUGUAUCUGUCCAAAAAAACUCGGACUGGCAGAAGCAGUGGACUAACCAGCAAGAGAAAAACAAAAACAAAGCAAAACAACAAAAAAACAUUGCUCAAAGGUAUGUGCCAGUGACAUCUAACAUGUUCAUGAAGUAUCUUACACAGAACAAUUCAAGAACCAUCUUCAAAUAAAGCUUAUAAACUUGUCAGGAGACCAGGUAUCACUGACAUUCCAGGAUCACAACACAGCUCUCCAUUCCUGGCAGGACCACCUUACGCUUGUCACCAAAGGCCCCAGAUCCUUCAUUUGGUUGCAAAAUGGGGACACUAAUGCCCGUCUUUGAGCUUUGUGCCAACCCUGAAGGAAGAUCCCAGCAAAGGCCGUCCCCUCCUGCUUCUCUGUGCCAGCAAAAGUACUCUCUGGCAACCCUAUGUAUUCAACAGAUUGUCAUUUGUGCCAGCUGAUUUUUAUAUCAACUUGACAUAAGCUAGAGUCAUCAGAGAAGAGGGAACCUAAUUGAGAAGAUGUCUCCAUAAUAACGAACGUGCAGGGCAUUUUCUUAGUGACUAAUGUGAGAAGGCCUGGCUCAUUAUGGAUGGUGCCACCCCUGAGCUGGGGUCCUGGAUGCUAUAAGAAAGCAGGCUGUGCAAGCCAUGAGGAGCAAGCCAUAAACAGCACUCCUCCAUGGCCUCUGCAUCAGCUCCAGCCUCCAAGUUCCCAGUCUGAGUUCCUGCCCUAACUUUAUUUUUUUUAUUUAUUAUGUAUACAAUGUUCUGCCUGCAUGUAUGCCUGCAGGCUCCCUAACUUUAUUUGAUGAUGAGCACUGUGGUAGUUUGGAAGAAAAUAGCCCCCAAAGGGAGUGGCACUAUUGGGAGGUGUGGCCUUGUUGGGGGAAGUAUGUCACUGUUGAGACUGACUUUGAGGUCUUAUAUAUGCUCAAACCAUGCCCAGUUAGACAGACCACUUCCUGUUACCUGCAAGCCAAGAUGUAGGACACUUGGCUACUUCUCAGCACCAUGUCUGCCUGCAAGCCACCAUGUUGCAACAUGAAGGUUAACAGACUAGCUAGGUGGUGGUGGCGGCACAUACCUUUAAUCCCAGCACUUGGGAGGCAGAGACAGGCAGAUUUUUGAGCAAGUUCAAGGACAACCAAGAUUAGUGGCGAAGGUGGAAAAUGGAAAGCUGGUGAAGAGGUCAUUGAAUGAAGGGGCCAUGUUCCAGCCCCAGUAAGCAGCAGAACUUGGCAGCUUCAGCUGCGUGGUUCUGGUUUUAGAGUUAAGGAUGGAAGAAAUGGGCUAUGGAAUUUGCCUCCACACCUAAAGAAAGCUGCUGAGGCCAGGCAUGUGUCAGAGAUGUCCCUGAAUGGAGGUCUAGAGGGCAUUGAGUGAAGCUGUGAAGGAGAAGCCUGGAUUGCCUUGGAGACCCCAAGAUGUUGAAGAUGCCAGAGCUGUGGGAUACCUGCCACAGAGAUUUGCCAAAAGGAAGUGGAACCAGCCCAAGAGAGAGAAGUGUGUUGUAGUCAACAAAUCUGAAAGAAAUUGGUGAUCUGAAGAGCAUUUUGACAUCAGACAUGGAGAUACAGAGUUUGGAGUCUGCCCAGCUGGUGUUCAGUCUUGCUUUGGUCCAGUGUUUCCUUGCUAUGCUGCUUUCCCCUAUGUUUUAGAAUGGUAAUGUAUAUCCUGUGCCAUUAUAUAUUGGAAGUAUGUGAUCAGCUUUUUGAUUUUGAUUUUACAGGGGUUACAGUUAAGAGAUCGCAUGAAUCUCAGAAGAGAUUUUGGACUCUUAAACAUUGUUGAGACUGUUAUAGUCUACGGGGACUUCUGAAGUUGGACAGAAUGCAUUUUUGCAUUAUGAUAUUGCAAUAAGAUCAUAAGGGCCAGGGAGUGGAAUGUGGUGGUGAAAGAAAAUGGCCCCAAAUGGGAGUGUCACUAUUAGGAAGUGUGGUCUUGUUGGAGGAAGUGUGUCUCUGUGGAGACGGGCUUUGAGGUCUCAUAUAUGCUCAAGAUACCACCUAGUGUCUCGGGUCACAUCCUGUUGCCUGAAUAUCAAGAUGUAGGACUCUUAGCUCCAGCAUCAUGCCUGCCUGCAUGUCACCAUGUCACACCAUGAAGAUAAUGUAGGUCACCCCAAUUACAUGCUUUUCCUCUAUAAGAGUUGCCAUGUUUGCUGGGUGGUAGUGGCACACAUCUUUAAUCCUAGCACUUGGGCAGCAGAGGCAGGCAGAUCUCAGUGAGUUUGAGGCCAGCCUGUUCUAUAG